RNAcentral lists this RNase P RNA (422 nucleotides) under Acidobacteriota bacterium. Its description in RNAcentral is "Acidobacteria bacterium (wastewater metagenome) RNase P RNA component class A". It matches the Rfam family "Bacterial RNase P class A". Rfam says of the family: Ribonuclease P (RNase P) is a ubiquitous endoribonuclease, found in archaea, bacteria and eukarya as well as chloroplasts and mitochondria. Its best characterised activity is the generation of mature 5'-ends of tRNAs by cleaving the 5'-leader elements of precursor-tRNAs. Cellular RNase Ps are ribonucleoproteins. The record is from RNAcentral. Lineage: Bacteria; Pseudomonadati; Acidobacteriota.
GCAGUGAACCGGAUGACCGCCGCGCCGAGCAACCGCGCAAGCGUAGUACUCGACGGGGAGGAAAGUCCGAACUCCACAGGGCAGUGCGCCGGGUAACACCCGGGCGGGGCGACCCGACGGAAAGUGGCACAGAAAAGAUACCGCCCUCGCUGUUUGGGGGUAAGGGUGAAAAGGUGCGGUAAGAGCGCACCGCGCGGCUGGCAACAGACGUGGCAGGCCAAACCCCGCACGGAGCAAGACCAAAUAGGGAAGCGCAUGGCUUCGGCCACCAGGACGGCCCGUCCGAUCGACGCUUCCGGGUAGGUCGCUCGAGUCCGCCAGUGAUGGCGGGCCUAGAGGAAUGGUCAUCUCGCCGGAGCCGGAGGGCCGCAAGGCCCGUCGGCGAAGGCGGACAGAAUUCGGCUUACAGGGGCACUGCGGCC